AUCUUUGGUACGUAAUAAAUCAUCUGCAAAAAUGAAGUUCGUAUUGUUCAAAUGUCGCAAAUUAAAAAUACUAAACCAAUAGACUGCAAAAAGAAAAUUCAUAUGUUCCAAUGAAUUGCUAACUCAUUUCACCCUGAAUCUACUUAAAAGCUAAAGCAUUAACAAAGGAAUUGACAAAAACAUAGAGAAGCUGAAGUGUUGUUUUCCCAAACAACCGACAAAAU
Molecule: long non-coding RNA, 224 nt
Filed under: Nicotiana benthamiana
Lineage: Eukaryota; Viridiplantae; Streptophyta; Magnoliopsida; Solanales; Solanaceae
Description: long non-coding RNA (NBEN_LNC021659)
Source: RNAcentral